This 72-nucleotide transfer RNA is filed under the name Candidatus Altarchaeales archaeon. Its description in RNAcentral is "tRNA-Cys". It matches the Rfam family "tRNA". Rfam says of the family: Transfer RNA (tRNA) molecules are approximately 80 nucleotides in length. Their secondary structure includes four short double-helical elements and three loops (D, anti-codon, and T loops). Further hydrogen bonds mediate the characteristic L-shaped molecular structure. tRNAs have two regions of fundamental functional importance: the anti-codon, which is responsible for specific mRNA codon recognition, and the 3' end, to which the tRNAs corresponding amino acid is attached (by aminoacyl-tRNA synthetases). tRNAs cope with the degeneracy of the genetic code in two manners: having more than one tRNA (with a specific anti-codon) for a particular amino acid; and 'wobble' base-pairing, i.e. permitting non-standard base-pairing at the 3rd anti-codon position. The record is from RNAcentral. Lineage: Archaea; Nanobdellati; Candidatus Altarchaeota; Candidatus Altarchaeia; Candidatus Altarchaeales.
GGCCGCGUAGCCAAGUGGUGAGGCAGCGGAUUGCAACCCCGCUAACCCUCGGUUCGACUCCGAGCGCGGCCU